GUGGGGAAUAUUGGACAAUGGGCGAAAGCCUGAUCCAGCCAUGCCGCGUGUGUGAAGAAGGUCUUCGGAUUGUAAAGCACUUUAAGUUGGGAGGAAGGGCAGUAAGUUAAUACCUUGCUGUUUUGACGUUACCGACAGAAUAAGCACCGGCUCACUUCGUGCCAGCAGCCGCGGUAAUACGAAGGGUGCAAGCGUUAAUCGGAAUUACUGGGCGUAAAGCGCGCGUAGGUGGUUUUGUAAGUUGGAGGUGAAAUCCCCGGGCUCAACCUGGGAACUGCCUCCAAAACUGCAUGACUAGAGUACGGUAGAGGGUAGUGGAAUUUCCUGUGUAGCGGUGAAAUGCGUAGAUAUAGGAAGGAACACCAGUGGCGAAGGCGACUACCUGGACUGAUACUGACACUGAGGUGCGAAAGCGUGGGGAGCAAACAGGAUUAGAAACCCCAGUAGUCC
Molecule: ribosomal RNA, 450 nt
Filed under: uncultured bacterium
Lineage: Bacteria
Description: bacterial SSU rRNA
Rfam family: Bacterial small subunit ribosomal RNA
Source: RNAcentral